CCACAAUUACUCUGAGACUGCUUUGAUCAAUAAUCUGGCAUAGUCAUCUCCAUUAAUCUCCGCUUCUCCUCAAAUUUCUCUUCGUUGUUGGUGCAUUCAUUAGCUAUAGCGUUCCACAGUCAGGUUUGUCUACCUCAGAUACCAUACCAGGAAGUACAACCUUUAUCAACAGCAUGUCACCGGAGAGAAAGCAAUUAUUUUUAUCCGAGCUAAAGAGAAAAAAGGGCUGAGUCAAAAAAACAAAAACUCCUUCAUCAAUCAUAUACUACUGGAGCUCUUACAAUCAGCACUUCUUCGUUAUCUCCUU
This is a long non-coding RNA of Solanum pennellii, 307 nucleotides long. RefSeq lists it as uncharacterized. The record is from RefSeq and is a predicted model, not a curated record. Lineage: Eukaryota; Viridiplantae; Streptophyta; Magnoliopsida; Solanales; Solanaceae. The transcript is spliced from 3 exons.